GGUGGGCGCCCUGGCGAACCUCCACGUAGUCCCACUCCUGCACUCCGGGUCCCAGGCCAACACGUCCUGGAAAAAUACAACUAGAUCUCAGGAAUGGCAUAUCAUUUUCAAGGUCAUUUGCACUGAUGACAAGUUGUUCCGAAAUCUCGCUUGCAGCCACCACUCAAAAUUUACAUUUAUUUUCGAUUGCAGCUUGUCUGCUUUUCAUGUCCAACGCCGAUGUUUUUAUGUCGUAAUUGUCAAAGUUAAAAUUGCUUCAUUACGAUUUCAACGCGUCUAGAACAAUGGACAGCUCUGUGGGUGCCAAAAAAGAAAGGAAAAAAGAGAACCGGCUGUCCAGAAGCCCGAAAAAAAGGAGUGGUAAAUGAAUCCGAUUUCUGUUUUCUGUUUUCUGUGGCUGCACCCGGAAAAGUAAUUAACAAAUGUUUGUUUGUUCCACGCAAGUCAAAAGCAGAACGGCAAAAAAAGCUUAUGAAGCGAGCAGCUCCUUCGUCCACGGCUCGUUCUGGCUGCUUUUGACAACGGCAAGUGGUUUGGAGCCCACAAAACCAACCAUCUCGCAGGAUACACAUCCCAGCACCAUCCAGUACCACCCAGCACCACCCAGCACCACCCAGCACCACCCAGCACCACCCAGCACCACCCGGCACCACGCAAAACCCACUGCCAAUUUUGACCGGGUCGGAGUGCAGUUUUAAUGAGCGCGCCACCUGGCGGCGGCGUCUGUCAUCGGAGGCCAGUUGACGCUGGGUUGCGACCGCAAACGGAAAUCAAUUUGCCACGGGAGCAAAACCAAAAUUGCCAGUUCAAUGCCUUUUCGAUUGUCCAUUAAGCAGCCCGUGCAGCUCGUGCAGCUCUCAGAUCGCUUUUUGCCCGCUGCCAAAAGUCAUUUUCAAGCAAUUGGCCUGGCUGGCACAGCAAUCCUGCAGAUACAAAUGCCGGCGAUGCAGGGAAACCAGCAGAAAGGAGUAGGGUGUUCCAACAUACAGUUCCUCUCCAUGACGUUGCCAACAUUUCCGUAAAUGAAUUUCCUUGAAAUGAAUAAAUAGGCCACAUAAUUG
This is a long non-coding RNA of Drosophila gunungcola (fruit fly), 1061 nucleotides long. RefSeq lists it as uncharacterized. The record is from RefSeq and is a predicted model, not a curated record. The transcript has 3 exons. Lineage: Eukaryota; Metazoa; Arthropoda; Insecta; Diptera; Drosophilidae.